AGUGAACGCUGGCGGUAGGCCUAACACAUGCAAGUCGAACGGCAGCACAGUAAGAGCUUGCUCUUACGGGUGGCGAGUGGCGGACGGGUGAGGAAUACAUCGGAAUCUACUUUUUCGUGGGGGAUAACGUAGGGAAACUUACGCUAAUACCGCAUACGACCUAGGGGUGAAAGCAGGGGAUCUUCGGACCUUGCGCGAUUGAAUGAGCCGAUGUCGGAUUAGCUAGUUGGCGGGGUAAAGGCCCACCAAGGCGACGAUCCGUAGCUGGUCUGAGAGGAUGAUCAGCCACACUGGAACUGAGACACGGUCCAUACUCCUACGGGAGGCAGCAGUGGGGAAUAUUGGACAAUGGGCGCAAGCCUGAUCCAGCCAUACCGCGUGGGUGAAGAAGGCCUUCGGGUUGUAAAGCCCUUUUGUUGGGAAAGAAAAGCAGCAGGUUAAUACCCCGCUGUUCUGACGGUACCCAAAGAAUAAGCACCGGCUAACUUCGUG
This 492-nucleotide ribosomal RNA is filed under the name uncultured bacterium. RNAcentral's name for it is "partial 16S ribosomal RNA". It matches the Rfam family "Bacterial small subunit ribosomal RNA", at positions 29 to 507 of the family's 1533-position model. The record is from RNAcentral.